This 1590-nucleotide long non-coding RNA is filed under the name Coturnix japonica (Japanese quail). RNAcentral's name for it is "lncRNA (ENSCJPG00005014828.1)". Lineage: Eukaryota; Metazoa; Chordata; Aves; Galliformes; Phasianidae. The record is from RNAcentral.
UUUUAUUCUGUAAUUACAACUAGGCACUUGUAUUAUUCCAACUACAUAGGCCCUUUGUGCAUGCACAGAAGUGAAACAGAUUUCCAAGCUGAAUUUUGUUUUUUUUUAAAUGAUACUCUGAGAUUUCAUUAAUUUUGCUUGUGUUGUGCAAAGUUUAUAAACAGGCACAAUAGAAAGAAGCUUAAUGUGAUGAGAAAUAUAUCGUAGACUAUGGGGAUUAAGUCUGAGGAGAUUAUAGGGCCAGCUAUUCUGUUCCCAAAAUAAAAACUCAGUGCCAUGGGUGUUUGUAUAGACUCAUCAUGUUGUUCCAAUUAAACCUCAAUUGCUGUUCCCUCUGGCUGCUCUUGCUAUCCAUGGUUCUGGUCAGCACAGGUGUUUGGCAGUAAAAGAUGUCAAUGAAUUGAAAUUGUUGCUAAUAUUCAAAUUACCUGUUUUCAUUUCAGCUUCUGACAACCCCCAGGAACAAAAUGAAUGCCUGCUUGCCAGCUGGAGGGCGAGCAUCCAAAAAGGAAAAAGUGCUCCUUUUCAGCUCCUACAAGGGUAUUGUGAUCAACAGAAGUAAAGAAAUGUAAUCCCAUUGCUUGGUACGGUUUUCUGAAGGAAGCAAGAGCUGUGGAGGCUGUGGAAAUCUGAAUGGUUUUCCAUGAUGUAUGUUUUGCAAGGAGAAGUGGGAGAGAUUGGGGCACAAAGUCUUUUGGUUUCCCAUCUAUCUAAAGCAUCUUGUAUUGCAGAUUCUAAUGGGAACUGAACACAUGGCUCUACCCUAAUGACCAGCCUGCUCUCAGUAGGAGUGGGAGAUCAGGUGAGAUCUCACCUUUGGCCAUUACCAAUUGCUUCAAGGAGAACUUCAAUGUUAUAAAGCAAUGACUGCAGCCAAGAUGAUGAGGCUGUUGAUGUCAACCGAGCAGAUGCUCUAGAAAUUGUUUGCUGGACAGUCCCAGAUGGGUUGGCACCAUCUUCAUCAGGAAAGAAACAUUCCACUACAGAACACUUUCAAGGAAGAUUUUCCCUUCUGAGAAGAACUGUGAGCCCCAUAAAUUGGUCAGACCCUACCUGUAGGGAGUUGUGCUGUCUCCCUGGGGCUCAGGCCAGUACUAUGAGACAUGAAUGCAGUGAAAUUGUCAGGUCACAGCCUGAACCAAUAGUUGAGCACCAGGUGAGAAGGUGUAGGUAACAUGGGGAGCUCAGGUGCAAGUAAUUCACCUGAGAGACGAGAAGGUGGGAAGCCUGGAUCCAUCCCUCCUCAUGCCUCAUCUAAGGGUUAACAGCUGAGGUAGUGGUGUUUCUCUGGGCAGAGGUUGCACUCUUCUUGCGCUGUCACUGGUUGCUGGCAGAGGGUGAGUUAAUUUUCUUUCUUUUUUUACCUGCUAAUGCUCCAUGGUGUUUGAAUCCCAUUAGAAGACACUGCUGUUGCCUUCUUUUGCUGUAUGCGUGAGCCAGCAGUGUGCUCUUGCAGCCCAGAAGGCCAUGAUAUUGUUCUAUACAGAAGUAAUGAAGGCAAACCUGCAGAGAGCAGUGAGAAGCUUUUUAUGGUUGCAGUGUAGGAAAAAAGACAGAAUUAGCAGUACAGUUUUCCAGGUUUUGUGAUGG